GAGGCUCAGUGGUAGGGCACUACUUGGAAUGCAGAAGGUCCCAGGUUCAAUCCCGGCCAUCUCCA
RNAcentral lists this transfer RNA (65 nucleotides) under Sphaerodactylus townsendi. RNAcentral describes it as "tRNA-Ser". Lineage: Eukaryota; Metazoa; Chordata; Lepidosauria; Squamata; Sphaerodactylidae. The record is from RNAcentral.